CGCGUCACCGCUCAACACGAACGGAUACACUCGUUACCAUGACGACGACAACAACGCACCCCACCAAUGUCUUGUGUGUGUCUGUGGGGUGGGAGGACAAAAUGAGGAAGAACGUGUUGCUCAGGAAAGGACUUUCAUUCAAGGAUUGCUUGAGAGUGACGACCCAGCUGCUGCCCCACUGCCGCCACGCUGGGACCGUUGGACUGGAAACGACAUCGUCAUAUGACAUCAUCAAGCGACAUGGGAAAUAAUGAGCUACUAUUAGGGCUGGAUUUUCCAACCAUAUCACCAAGCCCUACAAGUGCCGAUCACAAUAAGCCACUCGAUUAGGUACACAGGCAGUCACUUACCUGACCAAGAUUGUGUCAUGAUGAUGUCAAAAUGGUGGUCCGGUGACAAAAAAACAAGACAGGAGGGGGCGGAGUGAAGGGAGAAGAAGCAUGCUGGACACAAGUUACUGGAUGACGAUGAUGGAUGUUAGUCAAGGUUAAAUCAAGGAAUAUGAACACAACAUGCCGGCACGGUGAAAGACUGGUUAGCACAUCUGCCUCACAGUUCUGGGACCGGGGUUCAAAUCCCGGCCCCACCUGAGUGAAGUUUGCAUGUUCUCCCCCGUGCCUGGGUGGGUUUUUUCCGGGCACUUCAGUUUCCUCCCACAUCCCAAAAACAUGCGUGGUAGGUUGGUUGAAGACUCUGAAUUGCCCGCAGGUGUGAAUGUGAGUGCGAAUGGUUGUUUGUUUCUAUGUGCCCUGCAAUUGGCUGGUGACCGGUUCAGGGUGUACCCCGCCUCGCGCCCGAAGAUAGCUGGGAUAGGCUGCAGCAGCCCGCGACCCUAGUGAGGAUAAGCGGUAAAGAAAAUGGAUGGAUGAACACAACAUCACGUCCAUUUAAGGAUUGGUACAGUUGUAUCAAGUAAAAAGGCUUGAAGGCAAAGUGUCACACAUUUUUGGCACGUGGACUUGAAUGCUCACGAUUGACCAUUCCGAAGCGUUCUGUAUUGUUACUUGGUGUAUACUAGACUUUACGUUGAUCUGAUCGGUGUGAUAGGUAUCGGCCAAUAAUUACUAUUUUAUGCUGAUCGGCUUUCAUGUCAUAAUUCGCCAAUCCGAUCAAUGACGUCACAAGACAUUGAACUCCGCGUCGCCGUUGCGUAUGAAUCCAAAAGCUAGUUUAUUUUUAGUCUUGUCACGUGUCUUGUGGCGCAGUACUGUAAAUGACGGCCAAUAAAGUUUUUUUCUAUCUUGUCGGUUACAAAAUACAUCAUCAGUGUGGGACUAUUUUGCGGUGUCUCAGACAAACGGCACGUAUUUGCACUCUGUGCACAACUGAAGUAUGUUGUGGGGAACGUCAUUUAAAUGCUUCAACACAAAUUUCAUCGGGCACCUGAAGAAUGUACACAAGGAGGAGCAUGCCGCGUUCAAGCAACGCAGCGUGAGGAUAAGCGGUACAGAAAAUGGAUGGAUGGAUGAAUGGAUACAGUACUCAGUAUACAGUACACAAGUGAACAAGUCAUAAAGUACACAA
This is a long non-coding RNA of Phyllopteryx taeniolatus (common seadragon), 1524 nucleotides long. RefSeq lists it as uncharacterized. Lineage: Eukaryota; Metazoa; Chordata; Actinopteri; Syngnathiformes; Syngnathidae. The record is from RefSeq and is a predicted model, not a curated record. The transcript is spliced from 3 exons.